UCCCUGCAAAGUGUUCCAGUGUCUACAGACGUUUUUGGCUCUGCUGGCAGCAAGUGCCCUCUCCUGCCCCUGGUUUUGUCACACACAGGGCUUUUCUUAGGAAAGGAGCCUUUACCAAAUACAGACCUGGAUUCUGCUCUGUUAGAGUUUGUCUGAUGCUUUCCAGAAGGUGAACCUCCACACAUCAAUUCUGCAGAAGGGGUUAGAGGUCCGCUAAUACCAUCCUUGCUGAAAACAGCUGUAACUUGAAGAACAGCAACAGCUGGAGGUCAAGCAGCUAUCAUCCCUGAAAUAGUUGCCUUCUCACUGGUAUUGAAACUACUACUUGUCAUCAGCUAGAUCACUUCAAAACACUCCCUGUACUAUGAAGAAACAAGUGGGCUUCCUGUCUCAGAAGACCAAUGUGAAGUGACAUGUUGAGGCAGUACUGGCAUUUCUAUCAUCACCAUUACCAGGGCUUGAGUUUAAGUAGGACAAAGAAGAUGGGAAAGGAGAUUUCUUCAGCUGCAAGAAGAGGAAACAGUAUCCUGGGCUGCAUUCAACAUAACUUUGCCAGGAGGUUGAUGAAGGUCAACCUCUACUCAGCACUGUUCUAGGAUCCCCAGUUCAAAAAAGAUGAGAACUACUGGAUAGAGUCCAGCAGAGAGCGACAAAGAUAUUUGGAGCCUGGAGCAUCUCUCUUGAGAAAAGGCUGAGAGACCUGGAACUGCUCAGCGUGGAGAAGACUGAUGCUUAAGAAUAAUAAUGCUUAAAAAUAUCUAGGGGGUGGGAGUCAAAUGGAUGGAGUCAAACAUCAAAACGGCAAGGCCAGGCUCUUUUCAGUGGUGCCUAGUGACAGGGCAAGGGGCAAUGGGCACAAACUAAAACGUAUGACAUUCCAUAUGAACAUGAGGAAGAACUUCUUUACUGUGUGGGUGACAGAGCACUGGGACAGGCUGCCCAGAGAGGUUGUGGAGUCUCCUUCUCUGGAGAUAUUCAAAACCUGCCUGGACACUUUCUUGUGCAAACUACUGCAGGGAAUUUGCUUUAGCAGAGCUGCUGGACUAGGUGAUCUCCUGACGUCCCUUUCAACACCUAUGAUUCUGUGAUUCAGGUGACACGGCUGCUUGUUGGAUAAAGUCACGGCAAUCCUCUGAUACUUUAUGAGAAAACAGUGCUGGAACACUCACUGGAGAUGAUCACAUAACUGAAUAAGAUUUUUGUUCGACUGUUGUUUGUUUAUGAACUCAUAUUGCAAGAUGUCAACAGUUAAUAAUCAUAUAAAAGCACUUUAAAUUAUUUGAGACUAAUUAUGGUUUUAAUGCCUCAC
This is a long non-coding RNA of Gallus gallus (chicken), 1309 nucleotides long. The record is from Ensembl. NCBI's taxonomy places the organism in Eukaryota, Metazoa, Chordata, Aves, Galliformes, Phasianidae.